CCCAGAGGUAACCUGGGGGCCUGAGGAUGAGG
This 32-nucleotide non-coding RNA is filed under the name Homo sapiens (human). Lineage: Eukaryota; Metazoa; Chordata; Mammalia; Primates; Hominidae. The record is from RNAcentral.